RNAcentral lists this long non-coding RNA (353 nucleotides) under Nicotiana benthamiana. Its description in RNAcentral is "long non-coding RNA (NBEN_LNC023310)". The record is from RNAcentral. Lineage: Eukaryota; Viridiplantae; Streptophyta; Magnoliopsida; Solanales; Solanaceae.
CUAGACCCUUCUAGAGUAGGGUUAAAGUCAUAAUUCUAAGACUCCAAUGCAAUGAAUUGGCUAAAAAGUUAAUAAUUCAAGGACUAUGUGAAUAAAAUCUAAAAAUAGGAAGAGGGACUAAGGGGUAAUCAUAAGAAAAAGGGUUUCCCUAAGCUUUAGAUAUAAAAAGAGCACUCUAAUGCCUUCAUAAAGAGGGGGCUGGUAGAUUGAAGUCUCUUAAAAACAUCCCAAGAUUUUUGCACUCUUAAGGUCAUAUAAAAAUUCACUAAAAUUCCCAGGAAAUCCUGAAAGAAGAAUAGAGUCUAAAACUUCCCAAAUGUUGCUUUAUUAAAGUGAUUUUCCUCAUAAUUAAU